GCACUCUUUGACUUUGGAAUUUUCCAAAAUGGCUGCCGCUCGCCUGGCAAUGGGGGGACGAGGGUGCCAUCCGUUAUUGCUAGCAAUUACAAAUCUAGUUAUGGCACCCUCAACGGAGUUUGGGUGACAUAUUGUUAUUCUACGUUUCUUUUUUUUCUUAUUAUUUUUAUUUUUCUUCCACACAUUUUGUCCGCGCGAGUUCUCAGAAUUGAACGGACCAAUGUUUUAUGGAACUCAACUAUAAUGAGGAACCCCAUUUGAAGUUGUGCACCUUGCUAUGGAAUGGUAAAAGAUGGCCGCCGUUUCCAUGGAAACAGCACAAAUGCGAAAAAAAUCAAAG
Molecule: long non-coding RNA, 340 nt
Filed under: Mytilus galloprovincialis (Mediterranean mussel)
Lineage: Eukaryota; Metazoa; Mollusca; Bivalvia; Mytilida; Mytilidae
Source: RNAcentral